GAUCAUGGCUCAGAUUGAACGCUGGCGGCAGGCCUAACACAUGCAAGUCGAGCGGAAACGAUGGUAGCUUGCUACCAGGCGUCGAGCGGCGGACGGGUGAGUAACGCGUGAGAAUCUACCCAUGAGUGGGGGACAACCCGGGGAAACUCGGGCUAAUACCGCAUACGCCCUACGGGGUAAAGCAGGGGACCUUCGGGCCUUGCGCUGAUGGAUGAGCUCGCGUCGGAUUAGCUUGUUGGUGAGGUAAAGGCUCACCAAGGCGACGAUCCGUAGCUGGUCUGAGAGGAUGAUCAGCCACACCGGGACUGAGACACGGCCCGGACUCCUACGGGAGGCAGCAGUGGGGAAUCUUCCACAAU
This 359-nucleotide ribosomal RNA is filed under the name gamma proteobacterium R2A173. RNAcentral describes it as "bacterial SSU rRNA". It matches the Rfam family "Bacterial small subunit ribosomal RNA", at positions 15 to 372 of the family's 1533-position model. Lineage: Bacteria; Pseudomonadati; Pseudomonadota; Gammaproteobacteria. The record is from RNAcentral.